UGGGGUUAUUUUUUGUUAAGGUGCUUCUGGGGUAGCACCUUUAAGGGGGGGGUACUGUCACGUCCUGGCCAGUAUAAGGUUAAUUGUUUUUGUAGUUUGGUCAGGACGUGGCAGAGGGUAUUUGUUUUAUGUGGUUCGGGGUGGUGUGUUUGUGUAAAGGGUGUUUCAUUUAGUAUUUCCGGGUUUUUGGUUGAUGGUCUGUGUUUGUAUUCUAUGGUUAGUCUAGUGUGUGUGUUUCUAUGUUUGGUUAAUUGGGGUUGGGACUCUCAGUUGAAGGCAGGUGUUGUCUAUCUGCCUUUGAUUGAGAGUCCCAUAUAUUAGGGUAUGUUUGUGUGUGUUUGAUUUGUGGGUGAUUGUUCUGUGUUGAGCCUAUGCUUUGCAGACUGUCAGUUUAUCGUUCGGUUUCUUGUUUGUUGUUUUUGUAUUCGUGUUGAUUUAAUUAAAUGUUCAAAAUGAACAACUGCACACCUGCU
RNAcentral lists this long non-coding RNA (473 nucleotides) under Salmo salar (Atlantic salmon). RNAcentral describes it as "lncRNA (ENSSSAG00000094655.1)". The record is from RNAcentral. Lineage: Eukaryota; Metazoa; Chordata; Actinopteri; Salmoniformes; Salmonidae.